Long non-coding RNA from Pan paniscus (pygmy chimpanzee), 370 nucleotides. NCBI's taxonomy places the organism in Eukaryota, Metazoa, Chordata, Mammalia, Primates, Hominidae. The record is from Ensembl.
UCAUUAUACAUUGGGAAUGUGUGUAGCAGAUAACUUUACAGUACCAGAUCACAGGUAGUCACAUCCAAUUCAAUGCAGAGAACUGCAAGUGAUCCUGGACUUUGGGCAGGCUGUGGUAACUCCUUGUGGAGAGAGUAUUAUCUCAGCAACAACAGCACUCAGCUGAUUGGACCAAAAGAAAUGCUACGUGCGUUAGUUCAGGCUUGUCAAGAAGUAAAUGCCAAGAUGGAAUUAGAUGUGCAAGAAAUUUCUUGGAGAAGAGAGCAGGAAAGACAAGGAGAGCUUUCGGAUUGCAAUACAAGUCUAACACCAGUAGAAGGAGAGAAGAAAGGAAGGAAGAUGGGGUAAGAAGAAUCUCAGACUAUACUAA